Molecule: ribosomal RNA, 590 nt
Filed under: Russula sp.
Lineage: Eukaryota; Fungi; Basidiomycota; Agaricomycetes; Russulales; Russulaceae
Description: partial small subunit ribosomal RNA
Rfam family: Bacterial small subunit ribosomal RNA
Source: RNAcentral
UCAGCAGUCCAAAAUAUUAGUCAAUGCUCGAAAGAGUGAACUAGCUAACUGAAAUCAAUUAAAAAAUUGAUAACAUAAGGGAAAAUAAUGAUAUUACCUUAUUAUUAGUGUCGUCCAAAACUCGGUGCCAGAAGACUCGGUAAGGCCAGAGACAUAAACGUUAAUCGUCUUAAUCAGGCGUAAAGGGUUUGUAGGCGGCUUUUAAUUUUAUUUAUUUAUUUUUGUUUUUUUUGUAUAAAAAUUUAUAAGUACAGAAUAAAAGCUAGAAUCAAAUAGAGGAUAUAUCAAAUAAUGCUUAGAGUAGGUCUGAUAUCCUUAGAUACUAAGUAGAAUAUUAAAGGCGAAGGCUUUUUUCCAUUAAUGAUUGACGCUCAGAAACGAAGGUGAGGAUAGGAAAUAGGAUUAGAUACCCAAAAUACCCCUCUCUGUCAACGAUGAAUGGUAGUUAUUAGUAAUAAAUUAAUUAAUGACAAUGUUAACACGAUAACCAUUCCGCCUUGUGAGUACAACUGCAAAGUUGAAAACAAAAAAAUUAGUCGGUUUCGGAGCAAACGAAGUGAAGCAUGUUAUUUAAUUCAAUAAUCCCGCAA